Molecule: ribosomal RNA, 497 nt
Filed under: uncultured bacterium
Lineage: Bacteria
Description: partial 16S ribosomal RNA
Rfam family: Bacterial small subunit ribosomal RNA
Source: RNAcentral
GAUGAACGCUGGCGGCGUGCCUAAUACAUGCAAGUCGAGCGAACAGACGAGGAGCUUGCUCCUCUGACGUUAGCGGCGGACGGGUGAGUAACACGUGGAUAACCUACCUAUAAGACUGGGAUAACUUCGGGAAACCGGAGCUAAUACCGGAUAAUAUAUUGAACCGCAUGGUUCAAUAGUGAAAGACGGUUUUGCUGUCACUUAUAGAUGGAUCCGCGCCGCAUUAGCUAGUUGGUAAGGUAACGGCCUACCAAGGCAACGAUGCGUAGCCGACCUGAGAGGGUGAUCGGCCACACUGGAACUGAGACACGGUCCAGACUCCUACGGGAGGCAGCAGUAGGGAAUCUUCCGCAAUGGGCGAAAGCCUGACGGAGCAACGCCGCGUGAGUGAUGAAGGCCUUCGGAUCGUAAAACUCUGUUAUUAGGGAAGAACAAAUGUGUAAGUAACUAUGCACGUCUUGACGGUACCUAAUCAGAAAGCCACGGCUAACUACGUG